UAGGUGGGUCUUUGAGAAACAAAGAAGUGC
This 30-nucleotide non-coding RNA is filed under the name Mus musculus (house mouse). The record is from RNAcentral. Lineage: Eukaryota; Metazoa; Chordata; Mammalia; Rodentia; Muridae.